Molecule: non-coding RNA, 492 nt
Organism: Cinara cedri
Lineage: Eukaryota; Metazoa; Arthropoda; Insecta; Hemiptera; Aphididae
Source: the annotation of a GenBank genome assembly
CAAGUGGUGGUUAUGCCCGACACAUUAAUCAGGUACGUAGCAGACUGGCGAAAAGCACAGUCCAGCCGGUGUUAGUAUAUAGUAUAUAGUUAGUAUAUAGUUAGUAUAUAGUUAGUAUAUAGUGACUGGCAUUAUUGAACCUAUUUGACGAUCCGUGGAGAUCAUUUCUGCAGCAUACCUGUGACAGCACGUCUACUACCACCGCUAUGCGCAUUGUACGCACGAGUACGGGCUACGGCACCUUGCUUGUAAAGCGGUGUUAUCCGUAAGCGACAUGUACGUACAAACAUGUUGUCCACGCCACUUUAUUAUACCUGCGUAUUGUGAUUGUGUUUUCGUUUGUAUAUUAUUAAGAAAUAUAAACGUAAUUCUUUUGGAAACCGAGUGUAGCCAGGGAUCAAUUGGUUUUAACUACGAUGGUUUUUUUUUUUUUUCUGUCUAGUAUGGUGACACGUUUUUUUCAUAGUAAACUUACUCCGAUUUUGACGCGUA